GUUGUAUGGUUAAGUGACUAAGCGUACACGGUGGAUGCCUUGGCAGUCAGAGGCGAUGAAAGACGUAGUAACUUGCGAUAAGCCCAGAUUAGGUAGUAACAACCAUUUGAGUCUGGGAUUUCUGAAUGGGGAAACCCACGUGCAUAAGCACGUAUCCUUACCUGAAUACAUAGGGUAAGGAGGCGAACCGGGGGAACUGAAACAUCUAAGUACCCCGAGGAAAAGAAAUCAACCGAGAUUCCGAAAGUAGCGGCGAGCGAAAUUGGACUAGCCCUUAAGCUUUACACGCGUUAGACGAACGGUCUGGAAAGUCCGACGAUACAGGGUGAUAGUCCCGUAGUUGACGACGUGUGUUCAGUGAAAUCGAGUAGGGCGGGACACGUGAUAUCCUGUCUGAAUAUGGGGGGACCAUCCUCCAAGGCUAAAUACUACUGACUGACCGAUAGUGAACCAGUACCGUGAGGGAAAGGCGAAAAGAACCCCUGUGAGGGGAGUGAAAUAGAACCUGAAACCGUGUACGUACAAGCAGUAGGAGCAGGCUUUGUCCUGUGACUGCGUACCUUUUGUAUAAUGGGUCAGCGACUUAUAUUCAGUGGCAAGGUUAACCAUCUAGGGGAGCCGUAGGGAAACCGAGUCUUAACUGGGCGUUCAGUCUCUGGAUAUAGACCCGAAACCAGGUGAUCUAGCCAUGGGCAGGUUGAAGGUUGAGUAACAUCAACUGGAGGACCGAACCGACUAAUGUUGAAAAAUUAGCGGAUGACUUGUGGCUAGGGGUGAAAGGCCAAUCAAACCUGGAGAUAGCUGGUUCUCCCCGAAAGCUAUUUAGGUAGCGCCUCGGACGAAUACUACUGGGGGUAGAGCACUGUUAAGGCUAGGGGGUCAUCCCGACUUACCAACCCUUUGCAAACUCCGAAUACCAGUAAGUACUAUCCGGGAGACACACGGCGGGUGCUAACGUCCGUCGUGGAGAGGGAAACAACCCAGACCGCCAGCUAAGGUCCCAAAUUACUACUAAGUGGGAAACGAUGUGGGAAGGCUCAGACAGCCAGGAUGUUGGCUUAGAAGCAGCCAUCAUUUAAAGAAAGCGUAAUAGCUCACUGGUCGAGUCGGCCUGCGCGGAAGAUGUAACGGGGCUAAGUAGUAAACCGAAGCUGCGGCAAUGUGCUUUUGCACAUUGGGUAGGGGAGCGUUCUGUAAGCGGUUGAAGGUGUGUGGUAACGCAUGCUGGACGUAUCAGAAGUGCGAAUGCUGACAUGAGUAACGAUAAAGGGGGUGAAAAACCUCCUCGCCGGAAGACCAAGGGUUCCUGUCCAACGUUAAUCGGGGCAGGGUAAGUCGACCCCUAAGGCGAGGCCGAAAGGCGUAGUCGAUGGGAAACGGGUUAAUAUUCCCGUACUUCUUACAAUUGCGAUGGGGGGACGGAGAAGGCUAGGUGGGCCUGGCGACGGUUGUCCAGGUUCAAGUGCGUAGGCUUAAGAGUUAGGUAAAUCCGGCUCUUUUUAAGGCUGAGACACGACGUCGAGCACCUACGGGUGUGAAGUCAUUGAUGCCAUGCUUCCAGGAAAAGCCUCUAAGCUUCAGAUUGUAAGGAAUCGUACCCCAAACCGACACAGGUGGUCGGGUAGAGAAUACCAAGGCGCUUGAGAGAACUCGGGUGAAGGAACUAGGCAAAAUGGUACCGUAACUUCGGGAGAAGGUACGCUCUUGAUGGUGAAGUCCCUUGCGGAUGGAGCUGACGAGAGUCGCAGAUACCAGGUGGCUGCAACUGUUUAUUAAAAACACAGCACUGUGCAAAAUCGUAAGAUGACGUAUACGGUGUGACGCCUGCCCGGUGCCGGAAGGUUAAUUGAUGGGGUUAGACUUCGGUCGAAGCUCUUGAUCGAAGCCCCGGUAAACGGCGGCCGUAACUAUAACGGUCCUAAGGUAGCGAAAUUCCUUGUCGGGUAAGUUCCGACCUGCACGAAUGGCGUAAUGAUGGCCACGCUGUCUCCACCCGAGACUCAGUGAAAUUGAAAUCGCUGUGAAGAUGCAGUGUACCCGCGGCUAGACGGAAAGACCCCGUGAACCUUUACUACAGCUUGGCACUGAACAUUGACCCUACAUGUGUAGGAUAGGUGGGAGGCUUUGAAGCACGUACGCCAGUAUGUGUGGAGCCGUCCUUGAAAUACCACCCUUGUAGUGUUGAUGUUCUAACGU
This 2196-nucleotide ribosomal RNA is filed under the name Vibrio parahaemolyticus. RNAcentral describes it as "bacterial LSU rRNA". It matches the Rfam family "Bacterial large subunit ribosomal RNA", at positions 1 to 2228 of the family's 2925-position model. Lineage: Bacteria; Pseudomonadati; Pseudomonadota; Gammaproteobacteria; Vibrionales; Vibrionaceae. The record is from RNAcentral.